AACGAACGCUGGCGGCAGGCCUAACACAUGCAAGUCGAACGCCGUAGCAAUACGGAGUGGCAGACGGGUGAGUAACACGUGGGAACGUACCCUUCGGUUCGGAAUAACUCAGGGAAACUUGAGCUAAUACCGGGAUACGUCCGAGAGGAGAAAGAUUUAUCGCCGAGGGAUCGGCCCGCGUCUGAUUAGCUUGUUGGUGAGGUAACGGCUCACCAAGGCGACGAUCAGUAGCUGGUCNGAGAGGAUGAUCAGCCAC
This 256-nucleotide ribosomal RNA is filed under the name uncultured bacterium. RNAcentral's name for it is "partial 16S ribosomal RNA". It matches the Rfam family "Bacterial small subunit ribosomal RNA", at positions 29 to 311 of the family's 1533-position model. The record is from RNAcentral.